Molecule: long non-coding RNA, 4170 nt
Organism: Ostrea edulis (European flat oyster)
Lineage: Eukaryota; Metazoa; Mollusca; Bivalvia; Ostreida; Ostreidae
Exons: 5
Source: RefSeq, a predicted model, not a curated record
UACUGUGAACAUUUUAUAUGUGUAUUUUGUUAACAUCAUCAUAUUGAUAUCUAGAGUAUUUACUUUUAGAUAAGUGUGUUAAUUCUGUACUGUGAACAUUCUACAUGUAUAUGUGUAUUUUGUUAACAUCAUCAUAUUGAUAUCUAGAGUAUUGACUUUUAGAUAAGUGUGUUAAUUCUGUACUGUGAACAUUCUACAUGUAUAUGUGUAUUUUGUUAACAUCAUCAUAUUGAUAUCUGGAGUAUUGACUUUUAGAUAAGUGUGUUAAUUCUGUACUGUGAACAUUCUACAUGUGUAUUUUGUUAACAUCAUUAUAUUGAUAUCUAGAGUAUUAACUUUUAGAUAAGUGUGUUAAUUCUGUACUGUGAACAUUUUAUAUGUGUAUUUUGUUAACAUCAUCAUAUUGAUAUCUGGAGUAUUAACUUUUAGAUAAGUGUGUUAAUUCUGUACUGUGAACAUUUUAUAUGUGUAUUUUGUUAACAUCAUCAUAUUGAUAUCUAGAGUAUUGACUUUUAGAUAAGUGUGUUAAUUCUGUACUGUGAACAUUCUAUAUGUGUAUUUUGUUAACAUCAUCAUAUUGAUAUCUGGAGUAUUGACUUUUAGAUAAGUGUGUUAAUUCUGUACUGUGAACAUUUUAUAUGUGUAUUUUGUUAACAUCAUCAUAUUGAUAUCUGGAGUAUUGACUUUUAGAUAAGUGUGUUAAUUCUGUACUGUGAACAUUUUAUAUGUGUAUUUUGUUAACAUCAUCAUAUUGAUAUCUAGAGUAUUAACUUUUAGAUAAGUGUGUUAAUUCUGUACUGUGAACAUUUUACAUGUAUAUGUGUAUUUUGUUAACAUCAUCAUAUUGAUAUCUAGAGUAUUGACUUUUAGAUAAGUGUGUUAAUUCUGUACUGUGAACAUUCUACAUGUAUAUGUGUAUUUUGUUAACAUCAUCAUAUUGAUAUCUGGAGUAUUGACUUUUAGAUAAGUGUGUUAAUUCUGUACUGUGAACAUUCUACAUGUGUAUUUUGUUAACAUCAUUAUAUUGAUAUCUAGAGUAUUAACUUUUAGAUAAGUGUGUUAAUUCUGUACUGUGAACAUUUUAUAUGUGUAUUUUGUUAACAUCAUCAUAUUGAUAUCUAGAGUAUUAACUUUUAGAUAAGUGUGUUAAUUCUGUACUGUGAACAUUUUAUAUGUGUAUUUUGUUAACAUCAUCAUAUUGAUAUCUGGAGUAUUGACUUUUAGAUAAGUGUGUUAAUUCUGUACUGUGAACAUUCUAUAUGUGUAUUUUGUUAACAUCAUCAUAUUGAUAUCUGGAGUAUUGACUUUUAGAUAAGUGUGUUAAUUCUGUACUGUGAACAUUUUAUGUGUGUAUUUUGUUAACAUCAUCAUAUUGAUAUCUGGAGUAUUGACUUUUAGAUAAGUGUGUUAAUUCUGUACUGUGAACAUUUUAUAUGUGUAUUUUGUUAACAUCAUCAUAUUGAUAUCUAGAGUAUUGACUUUUAGAUAAUUGUGUUAAUUCUGUACUGUGAACAUUCUACAUGUAUAUGUGUAUUUUGUUAACAUCAUCAUAUUGAUAUCUAGAGUAUUGACUUUUAGAUAAGUGUGUUAAUUCUGUACUGUGAACAUUUUAUAUGUGUAUUUUGUUAACAUCAUCAUUUUGAUAUCUAGAGUAUUAACUUUUAGAUAAGUGUGUUAAUUCUGUACUGUGAACAUUCUACAUGUAUAUUUGUAUUUUGUUAACAUCAUCAUAUUGAUAUCUAGAGUAUUAACUUUUAGAUAAGUGUGUUAAUUCUGUACUGUGAACAUUUUAUAUGUGUAUUUUGUUAACAUCAUCAUAUUGAUAUCUAGAGUAUUGACUUUUAGAUAAGUGUGUUAAUUCUGUACUGUGAACAUUCUACAUGUAUAUGUGUAUUUUGUUAACAUCAUCAUAUUGAUAUCUAGAGUAUUAACUUUUAGAUAAGUAUGCUAAAUCUGUACUGUACAUUUUAUUUGUGUAUUUUGUUAACAUUAUAAAAUGUUUAUUCGGUAUAUACAUGCACACAAACAUACAUAUAUAAAUACCAAGGAUAAAUCAGGAAAGCUCGAAAGCUUAUUUCCAAUGGGGUCCUUUGAUGCACGGAUGUUUGCGCUAGGGGGUCAUUUAUGUGGAGGGAAACCGGAGUACCCAGAGGAAACUCACAUGUCCGAGCGGGAAUCCGAAUCACAUACAACCACUGCUGAUCACGGGAAUCGAACUCGGAUCGCAGCUGUGAGAAUUGAGAGCAGUGCCUCUGCGCUACCCGGACACCCUUAAUAAUAUUAAUGUAUAGUGUACAUGUUUUGACUUUCAGAUAUGUAUGCUAAAUCUGUUCUGUGAACAUUCUGUAUGUGUUACUAUUUUGCAUCUGGUAUAUUACAACGGAAAUUCACAAACAUGUAAUAAAUAUUCAUUUAUUUGAGAGAAAAAGACUUCGAACUGAAAUGUAUACCCCUCAUCGCAAAACAUUGAUAGUAUGAUAAUAUGAACAUAUUUUUAUCUGAACACAAAUGAAAGGCGAAGAUAACGAACAAUGAUCAAUCUCAUAACUCCUAUAAGCAAUACAAAAUAGAGUUGGACAAACAUGGACCCUUGGAUAUACCAGAGGUGGGAUUAGGUGCCUAGGAGGAGUAACCAUCCCCUGUCGACCGGUCAAACCGCCAUGAGCCCUAUAUUUUGAUGAGGUAAACGGAGUUAUACGUAGUCAAAAUCGGUGUGCCAAGAACGGCCCAACAAUCGGCAUGAAACACGUCAGACAGCAUUUGGCCCAAUGACAGGCUGUAUCGGCAAACUAGAUCGUUAUAACGACCAUAGAAUUUGCGAAAUGCUGAUUUUAAACGAGACUGUUGGAACCCCUGCACCAUCAACUUGUUUGUCAGUAGCCUGCUUCGAUUUAAAAACUGACCAUGCGCAGAGCAAGCUCUUGCGUAUCGAAUCAGUUGAGAGAUGUAAACACCAUAUGCAGGUGAUAAUGGAAUAUUGCUACAUAAAUAUUAGCCUGGUACCCGAGGCCUUCCGAUGUUCAAAGAACGAAGGCCAGGCAUCGGAUGUCGAAUGGAUUCUUCCACUGAUCAAAAUCCAAUAUGGCGGACUCAAUGAUGAAUUUCCAUACAUAUGGAAAGAAGAAACACAUGAUAGUAGAUGAAAAAACACCCUCAUACAUAAUGCUUCAUGAAUAUGCAAAACCAUGCCAACAGUCUACAGACUCCAGAUGGAAAAAGACAGAGAAAGAAAUUCUAAAGGGGUAUUCAAGGACCCAUCCUCCUCCACACUAAUUCAUAUUGGAAGGAAUUAACAUCCAACUUGAAUGAAGAAUUACAGACUUCCAGAACAGACCCUUUAAAAAAGGAGAAGCCAGAUCUUCAGAAGACUUCCUUGAAAAUGAGAAUUUUUUGAGUGGAAGUGAAGAAUAUGGGAUGCAUACAAGCAGACAUCAGCAUUCCCUCCCUCUUGUUUGUAUCAGAGGUGAGCUUUUUGAGAAAGACUUAUGGAGGAAGUUUGAGAGUGUCAGUUCUCAGAUCAAGAAGUUAGCUAACAGUAGGAGGAGUAGUAAUUCAUUCCACUGUAUGGUCAGAGAAAUAUAUGACAUAAAAGACCCGAAAAAGGAGAUUUGGCAUUGUUUCAUGUGGAAAUUGGAGAAUCUUUGAAAUGGAUACAUGCAACACAUACAUGUUUCAGUUACUUGGGGAUAAAACUUAUGAGGAAUUUUGCUAACUUUCAGAUGGGAAUGUGUUGCACAAGAAAUGCUUGAUCACAACCUUCUUUUAUUAGAAACCUUUUCUAUACAAAUAAUUAUUUUAAAUGAAAUUUAGCUAUUUCAUUAGACUAGUAAACAUGUUUUCUGUGCAAGUGUGUGUCUUUGACAUUAAAUGCUAUGAUAUAUUGAAGUAUUUUUAAACAAUGGAAGAUCUCUACUAGUUCUUUCAAAGGAAAGCCAACAACAGGAAUCGAACCUGUUCCUCCAUCGUACAGAUACGAAAGUGUGCACCAGUACACCAUGUUGACAUAUAUUAAGAACUAGUAGCCUUGGAGAGUACAUAUUGUAUUAUUCUUGUACAGUUGAUACUGGUUGGUGUGAUAUAUAUAUAUGUAUAUAUAUAAUAUACAUACAGCUUAGUAUAUAUAAUGCAUGCCUCAUGUUUGCUAGUCGUCAAUAAAGCAUUUGAAUUGAA